Molecule: long non-coding RNA, 7317 nt
Filed under: Fragaria vesca (wild strawberry)
Lineage: Eukaryota; Viridiplantae; Streptophyta; Magnoliopsida; Rosales; Rosaceae
Description: long non-coding RNA (FVES_LNC003824)
Source: RNAcentral
ACACCAACUUCAACUCUCUCAACCCUUCAACCCAUCCUCACUUCACCUUCCACUCGAUCCCUGAUGGCCUAUCCGAAACUGAGACCUCCACAAAAGAUCCCGUCCUACUUAUUUCUUGUCUAAAUGCACACUGUUGUGAUCCUUUCCGGAACUGCCUGGCUAACUUGUUAUCUGAUGAUGGUUCAGAGGAGCCUAUUGCUUGUUUAAUCACUGACGCUCUCUUUUAUUUCACUAAAUCUGUUGCUAAGAGCCUCAAGCUUCCAAGGAUGCUGCUAAGAACAGGAAGUGCCACAUCGACUAUUGUUUAUGCCGUAUUUCCACUUCUAUGGGAAAAGGGUUACCUCCCAAAACAAGGUUAGUUUCUCUGAAAACACCUAGUUGCCUACUAAUGCCUCAGGUUUAUAUUCCUAAAUCCUCUACUAAUUAGGUCAUGUAUUUUCCAACUAUGCUCAAACUUAGACUGCUAUCUUUUUACUGUUUUGUUAGAAUCUCAACUAGAAGAGCCAGUGGUAGACCUGUCACCACUCAAAGUGAAAGACCUUCCAAUGAUGAACUCUUGUGACCCACAGGGAUAUUAUCAACUACUGAUUCAAAUGGUAAAGGAAAUCAAAACCGCAGAUGGAAUUAUUUUCAAUACUUUUGAAGAUCUUGAAGAACAAGCACUGGCUACAUUUCGACAAGAAUUUCCCAUCCCAGUUUUUCCAAUAGGUCCAUUUCACAAAUGGUUCUCAACCUCCUAUUCAAGUAGCUUAUUAUCAGAGGAUGAAAGUUGCAUUUCGUGGCUAAAUACUCAAGCACCAAAGUCUGUUGUCUAUGUUAGCUUUGGGAGCACUGCUGCAGUAAAUGAAGCUCAAUUUUUGGAAAUAGCUUGGGGAUUAGCCAACACCAAUCAGGCGUUCUUGUGGGUGGUUCGACCUGGAUUAAUCCAAGGCUCUGAAUGGCUAGAAAAAUUACCUCAAGGGUACCUGGAGGCUUUAGAUGGGAAGGGUCACAUUGUGAAAUGGGCACCACAGAAAAAGGUGCUGGCUCAUCCAGCUGUGGGACUAUUCUGGACUCACAAUGGGUGGAAUUCAACAUUGGAGAGUAUUUCUGAGGGGGUGCCUAUGGUUUGUAUGCCACAUUUCGCCGAUCAAAUGGUAAAUGCAAGAUAUGUAAGUGAUGUUUGGAGAGUAGGGUUGCAGUUAGAGAAUGGGAUCAAGAGAGACGAAAUUGAAAAAACAAUUCAAAAACUGAUGGCAGAGAAAGAAGGGGAAGAGAUCAAAGACGAAAUGUCAAUGCUUAAGGAGAAGACAAAUCUUUCACUCAGAGAAGGUGGCUCUUCAUACCAAUCCUUGGAUGGCUUGGUUAACCAUAUUCUAUCAUUAUAGUCACUGGACGUUGAUCAAAAUGUAUCAUAUUUUCAUCACUAUCAAGUCCCUGAUUGAUCAAAAUGUGUCUGUACUCUGUAGCAUAUCAUCUAUAGGCCAAACAGAAAAAACAGUACAUCAGACUGAGUUUAGAUCACGCAAGUAUUUAUCUGUAGUUCUAUCAAGUUUAGAUCUACGCAAGUAUUUAUAAAAAGACUCCGUUCCUUGUAUUCAGUAUUAUUGGUUUUGUACAAUUCCAGAACAGAACUAAAAGGCUCUUCUCUCUCUUUAUUCGUUUUUCUCUCAUAAUUAUAUAGCCUUUCACUCUUAUGCACUAUAUAUAUAUAUGAUCAAUUUCAGUUUACAUCCCUGAGGUUUAGGGUUAACAUUAUUUCACUCCUCAUAUUUAUAAUUUAAAAAAUUUACCACCUGAAAUUUUCAAUUUUUAUAAAUCAUGCCCAAUUGUUGAAAUUCUGUUUAAUUCAGACGUUAAUUUUGACUUCAUAACUCAUUAAAAAGGCUAAUAUAGUCUUAUAAUAACAUAAAUCUCCUCUUAGAAUUUUUUUUCUACUAUCUCAUGCUAUCAUUUAAUCACUUAACCUUCAAAUUGGACGAAAUUUUAGGAAUUAUGUAUGAUUUAUGAAAAUUGAAGACUUUAAGGGGUAAAUUUUUAAAAUUAAAAAUAUGGAGAGUGAAACGAUGUUAACCCUAAACCUCGGAGAGUAAAUUGAAAUUAAUCCUAAUAUAUACUCCACAUAAUUACAUAUUUCAGAAAAUUUUAUAUGAAAGUGAAAUGUGUAUUUUAAUCUAAUAAUGGGUUCAUUAUUAGAAGAUAAUCAACAGAAACAAUAAGAAUAAUACAGUCAUGAGUCAUUUCAGUGUCUAUUUCAGUGUCUAUGUUUUAUUCAAUGCACCUGCAAAUUAAGGGUCUACAUCUAGCAAACAAGUGGCAAAUAAAUUAAGACUAUGAGAGCUUGUAGUCAAAAAAAGGAUUAUGAUCCUCUCUUUGGCUGGCAGUUGUCUUUGGUUAUCCUUAACUUUGAAUCUCAUUCGUCCAUUUAAAAUCCUAAGGUUUAAAACCAUGACAGCUCAGCAAGUUCCCACUAAAACUCAUUAAAUGAGACAUUUUAAUUACAAACGUCGUUUCUAUGUCGACGGAGACGUUAAAAUGAUUGAGUUCUCUUUCUCUUCCUUUACUUCUCCGCCUUCAGCCGUCUUCUAGUUCUUACUCACCUUCUUGUCAUCUCUUCCUUUGUUCCUGGGGGAUAUUUAUUUUCAAAUCAGGAUUCGCACUAAAGCUCAAAUCGGAAAAGACCCACCAAGAAUUGUAAUCCAAUUUGGGAUGCAGUUGAAAGGUUUUGUUGAUAACCGUAGGUGUAAACCAGAAAUAACAAGAACAGCAGCUGAAAAGCCCGACCAAGAUUUGUUGAUUCAUUCCUUUCGAUUGGGUUUUAAAUUUGGUUUUUUUUUUUAUUUCGAAUGGGCGGCGCUGAAAGUGGCGACCUGGGUCGCGGCUUCUCUGUUUUCAACCCGGUCGGAUGAACUGUUGCCGACGAGGUCGUUGGAAGUGGGUUUGUGGUUGAUUCGGACUUGGAGUUGGUUUCGCUGAAGCUUUUGAUGACAACUUUGCUUCGGGAGCGGCGGCGGGCCGGCCACCAGAGACGGGAGCAGAGGCGGAGCAGGCGGGGAAAAUGGCUUUGGGUCAGAAAUUUGUUUUGGGUUGUGGGUUUGUUGGAGAAGGAGAAAAAAGAUGGAGUCUUUGAAAAUGAAGAAGACUCUGAGGAGUUGGGUUUGGCAUGAAUUUGUUGAAGGAAAUUGCAGGUGCUGGGUUUCUUGCACUCAGAUGAAUGUUGGGGGAGACGUUAAACUGUUGAAGGAGAGAUGAAAUAGAUAGAGAUGUAACAGCGUUAAGCAUUGAUAUAUGUGGAGUAUUAAAAGUACUGUAUUUAUUAUAGAGUUUGCUGAUGUGGGGUUUUAUUAGCCUUUAGAUUUUUCAUCAACGGUUGAUAAUAAAAGCUAAGGAUAAACAAAGGCACCUACCAACCAAUGAGAGGAUCCUAAUCCAAAAUAGAAAGAAAAGAAAUUAAGACAAUGAGAGACGUAACAAAUUAAACUUCAAACAUACAAUUUUGUGGAUCAAAACUGAUGACUAUCAGUGACCAGUCCAUCAAUAGAGAGAGAGAGAGUUGAUUAGAUGGUCAUUGACGGUGAUAACCAGCAAAACUGGAUCCACAAAAUUGUCAAUAGGUUAUAGCGCUAUGUUCAUUAAUAUAUAGAUAUGUAAAGAAAGAAUCAAAGAAACAACACUGGAACAAUUUAGACAUCAGGAGUAGGGAGCAAAGGGGACUCAAACCAGAGCCAAACAAUUUAGACUCCAUUUCGCUCUAAAGUUUAAUGGAGCAAAUUAGGAAAGGCAAGAGGUUGAUACUCUUCCCAUUACCCCUUCAAGGCCGUAUAAACCCUAUGCUUGAGCUAGCUAAUGUUCUACACUUCAGAGGCUUCUCCAUAACCAUCCUCCACACCAACUUCAACUCUCUCAACCCUUCAAACCAUCCUCACUUUACCUUCCACUCGAUCCCUGAUGGCCUAUCCGAAACUGAGACCUCCACAAAAAGUCACAUGCUCCUUGUUUCUUGUCUAAACGCAAACUGUCAUGAUCCUUUCCGAAACUGCCUAGCUAACUUGUUAUCCGAUGAUGGUUCAGAGGAGCCUAUUGCUUGCUUAAUCACUGACCCUCUCUUUGACUUCACUCGAUCUGUCGCUAAGAGCCUUAAGCUUCCAAGGAUGCUGCUAAGAACAGGAAGUGCCACAUCGACUACUGUUUUUGCCGCAUUUCCACUUCUAUGGGAAAAGGGUUACCUCCCCAAACAAGGUAAGUUCUUCUGAAAACACCUAGUUGCCUGGUGGCUAAGAUUUAUAAGCCUAGGUGUUUACUGCUUGAUGGGUCAUGUAUUUUUCAAUUAUCCUCAUACUUAGACAUCUAUGGUUUCACUGCUUUGUUAGAAUCUCAACUAGAAGAGCCAGUAGUAGAGUUGCCACCACUCAAAGUCAAGGACCUUCCAAUGAAUUCUGGUGACCCAAAGAUAUUUUAUCAACUAGUAACUGAACUGGCAAAUGAGGUCAAGACUUCAGAUGGAGUUAUUUUCAAUACUUCUGAAGAUCUUGAAGAACAAGAAUCCGACAAGACUUUCCCAUCCCAAUUUUCCCAAUAGGUCCAUUUCACAAAUGGUUCCCAACCUCCUAUUCAAGUAGCUUAUUAUCAGAGGAUGAAAGUUGCAUUUCGUGGCUAAAUACUCAAGCACCAAAGUCUGUUGUCUAUGUUAGCUUUGGGAGCACUGCUGCAGUAAAUGAAGCUCAAUUUUUGGAAAUAGCUUGGGGAUUAGCCAACACCAAUCAGCCUUUCUUGUGGGUGGUUCGACCUGGAUUACUCCAACGCUCUGAAUGGCUAGAAAAAUUACCUCAAGGGUACCUGGAGGCUUUAGAUGGGAAGGGUCACAUUGUGAAAUGGGCACCACAGAAAAAGGUGCUGGCUCAUCCAGCUGUGGGACUAUUCUGGACUCACAAUGGGUGGAAUUCAACAUUGGAGAGUAUUUCUGAGGGGGUGCCUAUGGUCUGUAUGCCAAUUUUUGCCGAUCAAAUGUUAAAUGCAAGAUAUGUCAGUGAUGUUUGGAGAGUAGGGUUGCAGUUAGAGAAUGGGAUCAAGAGAGACGAAAUUGAAAAAACAAUUCGAAAACUGAUGACAGAGAAAGAAGGGGAAGAGAUCAAAGACAAAAUGUCAAAGCUUAAGGAGAAGACAAAUCUUUCACUCAGAGAAGGUGGCUCUUCAUACCAAUCCUUGGAUGGCUUGGUUAACCAUAUUCUAUCAUUAUAGUCACUGGACGUUGAUCAAAAUGUAUCAUAUUUUCAUCACUAUCAAGUCACUGAUUGAUCAAAAUGUGUCUGUACUCUGUAGCAUAUCAUCUAUAGGCCAAACAGACAAAUCAGUACAUCAGACUGAGUUUAGAUCACGCAAGUAUUUAUAUGUAGUUCUAUCAAGUUUAGAUCUACGCAAGUAUUUAUAAGAAGACUCCGUUCCUUGUAUUCAGUAUUAUUGGUUUUGUACAAUUCCAGAACAGAACUAGAAGGCUCUUCUCUCAUAAUUAUACAGGCUUUCACUCUUAUGCACUACUUAUAAUAUAUAGGAUUAAUUUCAGUUUACACCCCUGAGGUUUAGGGUUAACAUCAUUUCACUUCUCAUACUUAUAAUUUUGAAAAUUUACACCCUAAAGUUUUCAAUUUUCAUAAAUCAUGUCCAAUUGCUGAAAUUUUGUCUAAUUCAGACUUUAAUUUUGACUUCAUAACUCACUAAAAAGGCUAAAAUAGUCUUAUAACAACAUAAAUCGCUUUUUAGGACUUUUUUCCUACGAUUUCAUGCUAUCAUUUAACCUCCAAAUUGGACGAAAUUUUAGCAAUUGUGUUUUGACUUUAUGUAAAAAUUGGAGACUUUAAGGGGUAAAUUUUUAAAAUUAAAAGUAUGAGGAGUGAAACGAUGUUUAACCCUAAAUUUUGAAAAUUUACACCCUAAAGUUUUCAAUUUUCAUAAAUCAUGCCCAAUUGCUGAAUUUCUGUCUAAUUCAGACGUUAAUUUUGAUUUCAUAACUCACUAAAAAGGCUAAAAUAGUCUUAUAACAACAUAAAUCGCUUUUUAUUAUUUUUUUCCUACGAUCUCAUGCUAUCAUUUAACUUCCAAAUUGGACGAAAUUUUAGCAAUUGUGUCUGAUUUAUGAAAAUUGGAGACUUUAGGGGUAAAUUUUUACAAUUAAAAAUACGGGGAGUGAAACGAUGUUAACUUUAAACCUCAGGGGGUAAAUUGAAAUUAAUCCUAAUAUAUACUCCACAUAAUUACAUAUUUCAGAAAAUUUUAUAUGAAAGUGAAAUGUGUAUUUUAAUCUAAAAUGGGUUCAUUAUUAGAAGAUAAUCAACAGAAACAGUAAGAAUAAUACAGUCAUGAGUCAUUUCAGUGUCUAUGUUUUAUUCAAUGCACCUGCAAAUUAAGGGUCUACAUCUAGCAAACAAGUGGCAAAUAAAUUAAGACUAUGAGAGCUUGUAGUCAAAAAAAGAAAUAAAAGAAAUUAAGACUACGAGAGACGUGACAAAUUAAAGUUCAAACAUACAAUGUUGUCAAUAGGUUAUAGUGCUAUGUUCAUUAAUAUAUAGAUAUGUAAAGAAAGAAACAACACUGGAACAAUAUAUUUAGACUCCAGGAGUAGGGAGCAAAGGGGACUCAAACCAGAGCCAAGCAAGUUAGACUCCAUUCGCUCUAAAUUUUAAUGGAGCAAAUUAGGAAAGGCCAGAGGUUAAUACUCUUCCCGUUACCCUUUCAAGGCCAUAUAAACCCUAUGCUUGAGCUAGCUAAUGUUCUACACUUCAGAGGCUUCUCCAUAACCAUCCUCCACACCAACUUCAACUCUCUCAACCCUUCAAACCAUCCUCACUUCACCUUCCACUCGAUCCCUGAUGGCCUAUCCGAAACUGAGACCUCCACAAAAAGUCCCAUGCUCCUUGUUUCUUGUCUAAACAGACGCUGUCAUGAUCCUUUCCGAAACUGUCUAGCUAACUUGUUAUCCGAUGACGGUUCAGAGGAGCCUAUUGCUUGCUUAAUCACUGACCCUCUCUUUAACUUCACUCAAUCUGUCGCUAAGAGUUUUAAGCUUCCAAGGAUGCUGCUAAGAACAGGAAGUGUCACAUCGACUAUUGUUUAUGCCGCAUUUCCACUUCUAUGGGAAAAGGGUUACCUCCCGAAACAAGGUAAGUUCUUCUGAAAACACCUAGUUGCCUAAUGGCUAAGAUUUAUAAGCCUAGGUGUUUACUGCUUGAUGGGUCAUGUGUUUUUCAAUUAUCCUCAUACUUAGACAUCUAUGGUUUCACUGCUUUGUUAGAAUCUCAACUAGAAGAGCCAGUAGUAGAGUUGCCACCACUCAAAGUCAAGGAC